AUGUGUGUGAGGAGCGAACCAGUGAGGGUACCGAGACGAAACACGGCCAGUCGUCGGUACCCUUUCUG
Leptolyngbya sp. Heron Island J is the source of this 68-nucleotide non-coding RNA. The record is from Rfam. NCBI's taxonomy places the organism in Bacteria, Bacillati, Cyanobacteriota, Cyanophyceae, Leptolyngbyales, Leptolyngbyaceae.